Oryza punctata is the source of this 204-nucleotide non-coding RNA. Lineage: Eukaryota; Viridiplantae; Streptophyta; Magnoliopsida; Poales; Poaceae. The record is from Rfam.
UUUAAACGUAGUCAUAAGUUUUUUUUGUCCAACUUUGAUCAUUCAUCUUAUCUGAAAUUUUUUAUGAUUAGUAUUUUCUGUUAUUAGAUAAUAACACAUGAAUAGUACUUUAUGCGUGAUUUAUGUUUUUUAAUUUUUUAAAGAACUUUUUCAAAUAAUAUGAAUGAUUAAAGUUGGAUAUGGAAAUUCAUGGUUGCUUUUAAA